AUACGUAGGGGGCGAGCGUUGUCCGGAAUGAUUGGGCGUAAAGGGCGCGUAGGCGGCCCGGUAAGUCUGGAGUGAAAGUCCUGUUUUUAAGAUGGGAAUUGCUUUGGAUACUGUCGGGCUUGAGUGCAGGAGAGGUAAGUGGAAUUCCCAGUGUAGCGGUGAAAUGCGUAGAGAUUGGGAGGAACACCAGUGGCGAAGGCGACUUACUGGACUGUAACUGACGCUGAGGCGCGAAAGUGUGGGGAGCAAACAGGAUUAGAUACCCUGGUAGUCCACACUGUAAACGAUGAAUGCUAGGUGUAGGGGGUAUCGACCCCUUCUGUGCCGCAGUCAACACAAUAAGCAUUCCGCCUGGGGAGUACGGCCGCAAGGUUGAAACUUAAAGGAAUUGACGG
RNAcentral lists this ribosomal RNA (395 nucleotides) under uncultured bacterium. RNAcentral describes it as "partial 16S ribosomal RNA". It matches the Rfam family "Bacterial small subunit ribosomal RNA", at positions 523 to 916 of the family's 1533-position model. The record is from RNAcentral.